AUUGAACGCUGGCGGCAUGCCUUACACAUGCAAGUCGAACGGUAACAGGUCUUCGGAUGCUGACGAGUGGCGAACGGGUGAGUAAUACAUCGGAACGUGCCCGAUCGUGGGGGAUAACGAGGCGAAAGCUUUGCUAAUACCGCAUACGAUCUACGGAUGACAGCGGGGGAUCUUCGGACCUCGCGCGGACGGAGCGGCCGAUGGCAGAUUAGGGAGUUGGUGGGAUGAAAGCUUACCAAGCCGACGAUCUGUAGCUGGUCUGAGAGGAUGAUCAGCCACACUGGGACUGAGACACGGCCCAGACUCCUACGGGAGGCAGCAGUGGGGAAUUUUGGACAAUGGGCGAAAGCCUGAUCCAGCCAUGCCGCGUGCAGGAUGAAGGCCUUCGGGUUGUAAACUGCUUUUGUACGGAACGAAAAGCCUCUUUCUAAUAAAGAGGGGUCAUGACGGUACCGUAAGAAUAAGCACCGGCUAACUACGUG
Molecule: ribosomal RNA, 482 nt
Filed under: uncultured bacterium
Lineage: Bacteria
Description: partial 16S ribosomal RNA
Rfam family: Bacterial small subunit ribosomal RNA
Source: RNAcentral